Molecule: long non-coding RNA, 545 nt
Filed under: Anser cygnoides (Swan goose)
Lineage: Eukaryota; Metazoa; Chordata; Aves; Anseriformes; Anatidae
Description: lncRNA (ENSACDG00005001610.1)
Source: RNAcentral
CUCACCUGAUCAAAUUCCAUAAUAAGGAUAUAAUUUUUGUGUUCUCAUUCAAGACUUGGAAUGUAUUAUCGGGUAUUUUUUAAUUACAUGCCAAAAGAUUUUUUUCUUUGUAUGUUUUCAAGAUUUCAGCUACAUCAGAAGAUGUGAACAGAGUGAUAACUCUGAUCCUCAGGACAUCAGAAGAAAAAGCUGCUACCUCCUAGCAACAAUACCUUCAUAUGCUUCAAGCACGGGGCUUUGGAAGGCAUAGUAGUCCUUUGCAUUAGACUAUAGAAGAACGUCCAAUGCCGCUGUAUGCCAACUUCACCAUAGGACCAGGAUGAAGAUAACUUGUAUGGAAUUAAUCAAGGCUCCAUUGAUAACUAUUAAAUAUUCAAGCUUGUAAGAUUUUUUUCUGGUUAAUUUUCUCUGAGUGUAACAGUAAUACUGAAGGUUUUGUGUUCUGUGGUUGGAGGAACGUGACUUUUAGAGUUAAUGGGGUGAACACUCAUUAAUAAUUUGGUCAAGAUUCAUUUUAUAUAGAUAGUCUUUCAGUAAGGACAGGG